Molecule: ribosomal RNA, 5711 nt
Filed under: Triticum aestivum (bread wheat)
Lineage: Eukaryota; Viridiplantae; Streptophyta; Magnoliopsida; Poales; Poaceae
Description: partial small subunit ribosomal RNA
Source: RNAcentral
GUGGAGGGGGCCAGAACUUUGGUGAAGAAGAGAGAGUAAAGGAGAGGAGAGGACGAAGAGGAGGAGGAGGCGGCGGCGGUGCCUACUUUACCCGCAACCACCCGUCCGACGCUUCAGCGCCACCCGCCACGACGGUGGCACCGGCAGCCCGACGCCGCCGGUCGUCUCCUGGCGGCGGCCGACCUCGAGGAAGGAGGAGGUGGCGCUUCGUUGGAGAAAGGGGGUGCUUCCUUACGGUGGCGCAGGCUGGAGUUGUCGGCUGGCUUUGGGAUCGCUCGGGGUGGGUACUGCGGGAUGGGAUCCUCCCACCAUGUCGCCGGUCUCCUCUCGUCUCCUCUCUUCUCCACUCCUCCACCUCGUCGGUCGCGGACCUGCACUCUCUUUCUUGUAACUCCGCGCCUUUCCAGAUAAGGGUUUAAAGACAUGGUCUCGUGUAAGAUUCUGGAAGAAUACACCCACGUUUGUAUGACGUUCUUGAUGGACAGCACGCGGUUUAUGUGUUACGCCUUCCAUGGCGACCCUACUCUCGACGAACGUUUGAACGAAGGGGACAUGACUUGAAACGUCCUUGUAACCAAUUCGGUAGUUAAUGAUGUUUACUUUAGCUGUCCCGUCACGUAGUAUACUAUCAACUCCGCCCACGAAUAGGAAGAGGUGAACCGAUACCGCCUAAAGGAUUUUCAUAGACGUGUAGUCAUUUACUCACACGGACGGUGCCUGAUGGACUAAGUUGUGUCGACGUCUUACCUCUGUAGUAUUUAUAACUACAUUUACACAAGGAUUUACAUUCAAGAGAGAGGAUUCUAACACGUAUACGAAUCCACCAUACAAACCGUAUCUCAGCCUAAAACGACUGUUUAACGAACGUUCCGACUAUCCAAAUAACUAUACGGAGUAUACGUUCGAGGAUUGGGUGACAUUUUCAACAGACAACACCUCUACUGACCCAAGGUACCGAUUGUAUUGUGUAAAAUGGACAAUACAUGAAGUAGACCGACCUAUCGUUUAACGUAAAAUUACGACUAAGUUACGAAUAGUAAUUCAUAAAGAAUACCUCUUUCUUUCGUCUCAUACGGUAAAGUCGCGUGAUGCUAGUGUGGACACAGACCCUCCUUCAAGAAGUCUUGUUCACGAAUUUGUUCAUGUUAGUGUGACGAUAGCUGUCCUUUAAAAUGAAAAUAGUCAGACUCCCGGAUACUUCAAAUUACGGAGACCGGUUCUAGGACAAGAUGGCUCAAUACAUGGGCUUCCAAGAAAGUACGGAAACCAAGUUACUCCAGUUGGCAAAGUGGAGUGCAAUAUGUAGCUCAAAAUGUAUGUGAACGAACUUCGAGUACUCUUACUUACGACCUUCUAUAAAAGUGGAUUUAUACAAAUUCCUGGCACUUUCUUCUCGUUAUGGAUUUGACAAGGUAGUGGUUUGAUUUCUUUGAUGUCUAGGUGGGGGCUGUUUGGAAGCAUGCCUAUUUUUAGUAAGUAGCUACGGUUAGAUUCUGACGGUAACUCCUUAACUCCCGCCCCUAUGAGAUAAGUAAAACUACGUACAUGGUACGUAGGUCAGACACCACCCCCACCUCGUUGCUCCGAGCUCUUGGGUCCGUCGCCUGCGGAGUACUGAACCUCCUCGCUGCUAUGCCUGUUCCUCGUCAUCGGAGUACCUAGAUGUCCCUUCGCAGUAGCUCCCUACCGACUACAGUUCCGUGUGUAUCGAGGCCGACGGCGCCUAUCCGUCAUGAGUUGCCUACUAUAGGAGGACUGAGACUGACUUGGGACAAAGCACGUUUGUACGAGACAUAAAAAAAAACCAUCCUUGUAAUUCGAGAUUUCUGUAUUAAUAAGUCUGACGUUCUAAAAAUGGCUUUUUCCCAAAGGGCGGCGAAACAUAAGGUUUCGUUUGGUAGUAACUGUGUAGCGUUACGACCCCGCUCGUCGUGUAGUUCGGGUUUCUUUUUCUUCUUCUUUCCUUCUUUUUUUGAUUUUUGCCGUUUCUAUGUCCUAUGGUUUCCUCGGUGAUUGUUCUGAGCUUAUGUGGUUCGUGUUCGAACUUGUAGCUUCGGGAGCCGCUUGUCCUCGGUUGUGUGCGGCGCCGACUCGGUUCCAUCUAGGGCGACGUCCUCCUAACAGUGCGAGACAGUAGGGGGAACCCGGUUCGGUAGGCCAGGCGGUAAGCAGAGAUGGAGGCUUCUCUCGGGGGACGGGAGAUCAGGACCUAGCCUCCUGUGAUGUGGCAGCUGUCCGUCUCAGCGAGUGGGGACUCGAGCGUACUGGUCCUGGUUGUCCAACGGCCCUCCCCUACUGUUUGUGUUGCUGGCGUGGUCCGUCGGCGUGGUGGCUCGUAGCGGUUGCGGCGCGCGGCCGCGGUUGUAGUUGGCGUUCACCGGCUCGUACCUGUGGUGACUGCUAUAGGCCGUCGGUGGAGGGUACGGUUCCGGAGCUGGUGGUGAGGCAGCGUGGUUCCACCACAGAAGUUCUUCUUUUUGCUACGGCCUCGCGGCAGUGGUGGGUUAGGCCUCUAAACCCCGAAAGUGGGCCCUGCUCCUUCCCUCCCCGCUCCCCCCCUAACACUUUGGCGGAAGUUCUUCCCCUUGCUGCGGCCUCGCGGCGGCCGUAGCACCGGCGUCUCUUGUCGGUUCCCCAAAGGGGGUUAGGUAGGGGGCUCUCCUUCGUGGUAGCGGUCUAGACGAGGGUCCCGUUUGCCCCUUCGGGGUCCUCGGUCGGUGCGAGCGGCGGCUAGGCGGCGGGUGCGCCGGUCCUAGCCGCGUGGGGCGUAGACGUAGUCGGUGGGCGGCUUCCCCCCGGCUGCGCGAGGUGGUCACCAGCGGCGGUGGUGCGGUCCGCGGUGGCGCGUCUCGUCUCGUGUGGUUCGGGUUGUGCGGCGGCGGUCCGUGGCCGGGGCGGUGGCAACAGGCGGCGGCGCGGCAGUGCGGGAGCCGGUCGCGGUGCGGCGGCGGGCGNNNNNNNNNNNNNNNNNNNNNNNNNNNNNNNNNNNNNNNNNNNNNNNNNNNNNNNNNNNNNNNNNNNNNNNNNNNNNNNNNNNNNNNNNNNNNNNNNNNNNNNNNNNNNNNNNNNNNNNNNNNNNNNNNNNNNNNNNNNNNNNNNNNNNNNNNNNNNNNNNNNNNNNNNNNNNNNNNNNNNNNNNNNNNNNNNNNCCCCAGCUGACGUUCUAAAAACGAAACCCAAAGUCUUUUUGACAUGUCUGGACGAACGACAUCAUAGGCACAAUACAUGAACCACAGUUUAUGUUUCAAGUUUAUAGUAAACUAUGUUCCUUGUCCAUAGGCUUAAAAUAUUUUCAUCUAUAUCGUUUGUAAUCCGAACUAACGUAAUUAUUAAAUAUAUCAACGUCUACUUGAAUGAAGACCAUGAUUAGGAAACUACGAAAAGAAAAAUAAAAGUGGUCAUGUUCUAAUUCGAACUGUCACUUUAGAACCUAUCAUACAUUGUGGGAAAGACGUAUAAAUCUUAGACAUACGUUUGAGUGUGGUCCACGGUCUACGUAGUAUCAAUUAUUUUUUUGAAGACGACAUUACCUCCAUGACGAGAAAUCAUCAAACGAAUUAAACUAAAAUAGUGGAGUUCACAAAAUGUGUUUUAAACUUGAUACACGUAGAUGACCACUCAGGAACCCGGAGCGAGAUAGAGUCAAAAGUUCUACCUUCUUACAGAAUUUCAAAGUUGAUGAUAAAUGAUUAACAUCCAAGGAAACUUCUAAGGCGGAUUAGAAAUCUUUGUCUUUUAAUCUUCAUAUAUAACAGGCGAUCUACGUUCGUAUUCAUCGAAUUUUGACUUUGCGGCCGUAGAGCCUGGAGGAGGUACCAAACGGUCCGAUGGUUCUAGUUAUUACAUCGCCGUACUCCUCCCUUAAACUAGUUCCGUAUUCAUCCAUUUAUGGGGAUCGAUAAAAGAAAUAAUAUAAAACGGGAAGAGAGUGAAAUAAGAUAAGAUGGAAAAUCACUAACAUAUUAAUUUUAUAAGUUAUUUGUAUGUAAAUGAAUACGAAGCCUCCUAUUCUGAAGAUAUUUAUGUGGGUGGGUACGGAUUCUAAAAUCGUUUAUUUAGAACCGAGUAAUUUAAAACAAAAAUUACUUUCCUUGUUAAAGAAGUUACUGUUUGAUGUAGAAAAAGAAACAAUCCGACAUCUUUUCUAUCCACUAUAAUUUACAAAGGAGUGUUUAUAGGAGAGAUUAGCUGCUCUUAUUAACUCCUACAUUGCUACACUUGUAACCAACAAAUAGCUGUGCCAUGAUUAUAACGGAAUUACGUGUUAUUUAACUUUAUAGGAGGAGACUCAUAUACGGAGAUGUUUUCCUACGGAUUACUUAAGUUACCAAACGGAGUAAAAAUGUUUUUAAACCUGGUAAGAUCGAGUGACUCUAUCAAAGAUUAAAUCAAACAACUAAUAUAAAAUAAUGAUUCAAAAUGACCCGACACAGGAGUACCUAAAGUUCAAAGCAACCUCUAUACAGUAGACGGUUACAAUCUUCUUGUCCACGAAGGUAUCUUUUUCCAGAAGCAAAGCUAAGGAAGGGAAACUUCCUUUGAGGUUUAGCUCAGCAGGCACUGUACGCAUCCGAACGAUUUUCGACUGAGUACAGAAUCUCUAAAAAUCAUCACUUAAAUUCACGUACCAAUGACUAUACCGAUACCUUACGUGCCCAACAUGUUGUUGAUUCAAACAUCUCACUUAAGUACACGAGUAUUUCCUUCACCACUUUUUGUUAUAGUAUACCUAUGUAGAAUUCUCCACGUGUUAACCGCUUAUAAAGCUAACACGAGGAAGUCCGGUAGAAACUACGAGUCUAACACGAAAGCAACUGUAAGUGUAUAAGAACAACAAUCACACAUACACGUCGAUAACUCUAUCCAGAGAAUAUACUUACAAUCUACAGUAAAGAUUUAAGUACAACAUUGAUAAAGACGGAACGAUUCGACUCUAGUCCCUGACAACCAGUAAAGAUUUCUAGUCCUGGGUUGGUCGGAGUAAAGAUUUCUAGUCCUGGGUUGGUCGGAGUAAAGAUUUCUAGUCCUAAGUUGGUCGGUAGGAUUAUACUCACAGCUUAUAACCCUUCAAACUUCUUCAGAUUGUACGUAUUGUAAUCCUCGGGGGGGAGAGGGUCAGCUCUAAUCCGUUCCGUCUACCCUUCGUCGCCGUGGGGGAGAGGGAACUCGAGAUCUAGGUACCGUGGUCGUCGCUCCUUACACUGAUAACCGAGGCAACAGAGAAUUUUCCCUCUUACCUAUUACGUUUAAACCACUGAUUUGAACCUCUGUUCGAGGGGCAGAGGAGACGUACAUAGGGACAGAGACAAGAAUCCUCUGUACAACUUCUCACAGAAGGAGAACAACGAAACAUCCCGUGCAGAGUCUUAGGUGGUACAGUUCUUGACCGUCGGUUUCUAGAGGUACCUUGACUCACCGUAAAGAACCACUGAAAUGUUAAACUCAUAAGUCGAACUUCGGAACUUUAAAGGUCAGGAACAUAAGUUGAUUUACGACUUAAGUAAUGAAGUACUCAUACACACCAGAGAGAGGGAGACUAAGAUAUGGUACAGAAAGUCACAAAACACAAAAUCUAAGGGAUUAGAGGAAUAUAAACUCACAGUAAAUAAAUCGAGGAAGUUUUAAACAUCACGUUGAAGGAUUUACGGUACAGGUAUACAAUGGUUUCUAUCUUUUUUCUUUGACCUUACCCGCCGACGGUUGGAUCGUGG